UUUUAUUAUAGUUUUCAUCAACAGAUUAGCCCCUUUGGAACCAUCGAUACUCGAGAAUCGAGAUUCACAGACAUUUUAUGGCCCUCAUAAAAGAAUCUAUUUGGUGUUUUCCGACUUGGGCCUACGGAGCCUGAAGCAAAAGUCGAACAAAGAGAUGUAUCCUCUGCAGCCAGGAAUUUGACAACGGCUAGGAACAAUGUAAAGCUGGUCCGUUUCCAGAGCCGAAUCUGUUAUUCGAUAGACACGUGGGCUAGCUCAAAAUACGGAAGACCAAGUCCAUUGGUUAUAUCUGCUUAUAUCUGAACACGAGUUCUAGGAAUGGGGCUGUUUCUGCUAUUUAAUGCAUACUGCAUGCUGCGAGCUAUACGAAGAACACCAUUGUGUUAACGCGCACAUUGUUAUAUAACACCGUCAAACUUUUUGAUUACACACGUUUAACCGUAAGUCAAUUAUUGUUGUUCGUAAUCGCCAUGUGUGUAUUAUCGUCAGCGUCGUCUCGACUCGAUUUAUCGACUCAAUAUUUAUUUUUGACUAUUAUCUUGGUCCGAAAUGUUGUCAUAAAGAAUCUUGAAAAACGGAAGGAAUGUGGUCAACGGAAAAAAAAUACAAUUGAUUCAAGGUUGAGAAACGGCUUAUUUCAUACAAAGAGAUGCAAGUAAAACGGUAUCGAAAUGAAAAAAAGUGUAAGAAGAAAUAACUAUUCUUUUUUCUGAUUUAUUUUUGUUGAGCCAAAGAUUCUUCGUGCAAUGCAUUUAUGGUGCACGCAAACGAAAUAAAUGACAUAGGUAAUACACGUGAUUCAAUUUUCUAAUAUUUAUUACUCUCAGUUCACGUUUCGUUGAAUCGUUUUUGAGUCACGUUCUUGCAUUUUUUUUUUCACAUCUAAAAUGCACCCCAAUUUCUUUUUCUUUCAGUAUCAA
RNA transcript from Formica exsecta, 920 nucleotides. RefSeq lists it as uncharacterized. Lineage: Eukaryota; Metazoa; Arthropoda; Insecta; Hymenoptera; Formicidae. The record is from RefSeq and is a predicted model, not a curated record. The transcript is spliced from 2 exons.